This 403-nucleotide ribosomal RNA is filed under the name uncultured bacterium. Its description in RNAcentral is "bacterial SSU rRNA". It matches the Rfam family "Bacterial small subunit ribosomal RNA", at positions 29 to 416 of the family's 1533-position model. The record is from RNAcentral.
AACGAACGCUGGCGGCGUGCCUAACACAUGCAAGUCGUGCGAGAAAGUUCCUUCGGGAGCGAGUAAAGCGGCGCACGGGUGAGUAACACGUAGGUAACCUGCCCCCCAGUCUGGAACAACUAGAGGAAACUCUAGCUAAUGCCGGAUGAGACCACGAUCCCUUCGGGGGUUGCGGCCAAAGAUGGCCUCUACUUGUAAGCUAUCGCUGAGGGAUGGGCCUGCGGGCCAUUAGCUUGUUGGUGAGGUAACGGCUCACCAAGGCUGUGAUGGCUAGCUGGUCUGAGAGGAUGACCAGCCACACUGGGACUGAGACACGGCCCAGACUCCUACGGGAGCAGCAGUGGGAAUAUUGCGCAAUGGGACGAAAGCCUGACGCAGCGACGCCGCGUGGGUGAUGAAGGCC